This 861-nucleotide ribosomal RNA is filed under the name uncultured Nitrososphaerota archaeon. RNAcentral's name for it is "bacterial SSU rRNA". It matches the Rfam family "Archaeal small subunit ribosomal RNA", at positions 21 to 889 of the family's 1478-position model. The record is from RNAcentral. Lineage: Archaea; Thermoproteati; Nitrososphaerota.
CCUGACUGCUAUCGGAUUGAUACUAAGCCAUGCGAGUCAUUGUAGUAAUACAAGGCAGACGGCUCAGUAACGCGUAGUCAACCUAACCUAUGGACGGGAAUAACCUCGGGAAACUGAGAAUAAUGCCCGAUAGAACAUUAUGCCUGGAAUGGUUUAUGUUCCAAACGAUUUAUCGCCAUAGGAUGGGACUGCGGCCUAUCAGUUUGUUGGUGAGGUAAUGGCCCACCAAGACUAUUACAGGUACGGGCUCUGAGAGGAGUAGCCCGGAGAUGGGUACUGAGACACGGACCCAGGCCCUAUGGGGCGCAGCAGGCGAGAAAACUUUGCAAUGUGCGAAAGCACGACAAGGUUAAUCCGAGUGGUUUCUGCUAAAGGAACCUUUUGUCAGUCCUAAAAACACUAACGAAUAAGGGGUGGGCAAGUUCUGGUGUCAGCCGCCGCGGUAAAACCAGCACCUCAAGUGGUCAGGAUGAUUAUUGGGCCUAAAGCAUCCGUAGCCGGCUCUGUAAGUUUUCGGUUAAAUCUGUACGCUCAACGUACAGGCUGCCGGAAAUACUGCACAGCUAGGGAGUGGGAGAGGUAGACGGUACUCGGUAGGAAGGGGUAAAAUCCUUUGAUCUAUUGAUGACCACCUGUGGCGAAGGCGGUCUACCAGAACACGUCCGACGGUGAGGGAUGAAAGCUGGGGGAGCAAACCGGAUUAGAUACCCGGGUAGUCCCAGCUGUAAACUAUGCAAACUCAGUGAUGCAUUGGCUUAUGGCCAAUGCAGUGCUGCAGGGAAGCCGUUAAGUUUGCCGCCUGGGAAGUACGUACGCAAGUAUGAAACUUAAAGGAAUUGGCGGGGGAGCACCACAAGGGGU